UACGGAGGGUGCGAGCGUUGUCCGGAAUCACUGGGCGUAAAGGGCGCGUAGGCGGCGCGGUAAGCGUGCGGUGAAAGCCCGGGGCUCAACCCCGGGUCGGCCGUGCGGACUGCCGGGCUCGAGCACUGUAGAGGCGGGUGGAAUUCCGGGUGUAGCGGUGGAAUGCGUAGAGAUCCGGAAGAACACCGGUGGCGAAGGCGGCCUGCUGGGCAGUAGCUGACACUGAGGCGCGACAGCGUGGGGAGCAAACAGG
Molecule: ribosomal RNA, 253 nt
Filed under: uncultured bacterium
Lineage: Bacteria
Description: partial 16S ribosomal RNA
Rfam family: Bacterial small subunit ribosomal RNA
Source: RNAcentral